This 441-nucleotide ribosomal RNA is filed under the name uncultured bacterium. RNAcentral's name for it is "partial 16S ribosomal RNA". It matches the Rfam family "Bacterial small subunit ribosomal RNA", at positions 338 to 795 of the family's 1533-position model. The record is from RNAcentral.
CCUACGGGAGGCAGCAGUCGGGAAUAUUGCGCAAUGGAGGAAACUCUGACGCAGUGACGCCGCGUGCAGGAAGAAGGUUUUCGGAUUGUAAACUGCUUUAGACAGGGAAGAAAAAAGACAGUACCUGUAGAAUAAGCUCCGGCUAACUACGUGCCAGCAGCCGCGGUAAUACGUAGGGAGCAAGCGUUAUCCGGAUUUAUUGGGUGUAAAGGGUGAGUAGGCGGCAUGGUAAGCCAGAUGUGAAAGCCUUGGGCUUAACCCGAGGAUUGCAUUUGGAACUAUCAAGCUAGAGUACAGGAGAGGAAAGCGGAAUUCCUAGUGUAGCGGUGAAAUGCGUAGAUAUUAGGAAGAACACCAGUGGCGAAGGCGGCUUUCUGGACUGAAACUGACGCUGAGGCACGAAAGCGUGGGGAGCGAACAGGAUUAGAUACCCGUGUAGUC